UGCCAGCAGCCGCGGUAAUACGGAGGGUGCAAGCGUUGUUCGGAAUUACUGGGCGUAAAGCGCGCGUAGGUGGCUAUUUAAGUCAGAUGUGAAAGUCCACGGCUCAACCGUGGAAGUGCAUUUGAAACUGGAUAGCUUGAGUAUUGGAGGGGGUAGUGGAAUUCCCGGUGUAGAGGUGAAAUUCGUAGAUAUCGGGAGGAAUACCGGUGGCGAAGGCGACUACCUGGCCAAAUACUGACACUGAGGUGCGAAAGCGUGGGGAGCAAACAGGAUUAGAUA
RNAcentral lists this ribosomal RNA (279 nucleotides) under uncultured bacterium. Its description in RNAcentral is "partial 16S ribosomal RNA". It matches the Rfam family "Bacterial small subunit ribosomal RNA", at positions 506 to 784 of the family's 1533-position model. The record is from RNAcentral.